Molecule: transfer RNA, 73 nt
Filed under: Oryza brachyantha (malo sina)
Lineage: Eukaryota; Viridiplantae; Streptophyta; Magnoliopsida; Poales; Poaceae
Description: tRNA tRNA-Lys
Rfam family: tRNA
About the family: Transfer RNA (tRNA) molecules are approximately 80 nucleotides in length.
Source: RNAcentral
GCCUGGCUAGCUCAGCCGGUAGAGCAUUGGACUUUUAAUCCAAGGGUCGUGGGUUCGAGUCCCCCGUCAGGCG